Molecule: ribosomal RNA, 468 nt
Filed under: uncultured bacterium
Lineage: Bacteria
Description: partial 16S ribosomal RNA
Rfam family: Bacterial small subunit ribosomal RNA
Source: RNAcentral
GACGAACGCUGGCGGCGUGCUUAACACAUGCAAGUCGAACGGAAAGGCCCUGCUUUUGUGGGGUGCUCGAGUGGCGAACGGGUGAGUAACACGUGAGAAACCUGCCCUUGACUUUGGGAUAACUUCAGGAAACUGGGGCUAAUACCGGAUAGGAGCUCCUGCUGCAUGGUGGGGGUUGGAAAGUUUCGGCGGUUGGGGAUGGACUCGCGGCUUAUCAGCUUGUUGGUGGGGUAGUGGCUUACCAAGGCUUUGACGGGUAGCCGGCCUGAGAGGGUGACCGGCCACAUUGGGACUGAGAUACGGCCCAGACUCCUACGGGAGGCAGCAGUGGGGAAUAUUGCACAAUGGGCGGAAGCCUGAUGCAGCAACGCCGCGUGCGGGAUGACGGCCUUCGGGUUGUAAACCGCCUUCGCCUGUGACGAAGCGUGAGUGACGGUAAUGGGUAAAGAAGCACCGGCUAACUACGUG